UCCUGGGUGGCUUAGUCAGUUAAGCGUCUGACUUUGGCUCAGAUCUUGAUCUGGUGGUUCGUGGGUUUGAGCCCCGCCUCGGGCU
This 85-nucleotide transfer RNA is filed under the name Felis catus (domestic cat). It matches the Rfam family "tRNA". From Rfam's summary of the family: Transfer RNA (tRNA) molecules are approximately 80 nucleotides in length. Their secondary structure includes four short double-helical elements and three loops (D, anti-codon, and T loops). Further hydrogen bonds mediate the characteristic L-shaped molecular structure. tRNAs have two regions of fundamental functional importance: the anti-codon, which is responsible for specific mRNA codon recognition, and the 3' end, to which the tRNAs corresponding amino acid is attached (by aminoacyl-tRNA synthetases). tRNAs cope with the degeneracy of the genetic code in two manners: having more than one tRNA (with a specific anti-codon) for a particular amino acid; and 'wobble' base-pairing, i.e. permitting non-standard base-pairing at the 3rd anti-codon position. Lineage: Eukaryota; Metazoa; Chordata; Mammalia; Carnivora; Felidae. The record is from Rfam by way of RNAcentral.